Molecule: ribosomal RNA, 468 nt
Filed under: uncultured bacterium
Lineage: Bacteria
Description: partial 16S ribosomal RNA
Rfam family: Bacterial small subunit ribosomal RNA
Source: RNAcentral
GACGAACGCUGGCGGCGUGCUUAACACAUGCAAGUCGAACGGAAAGGCCCUGCUUUUGUGGGGUGCUCGAGUGGCGAACGGGUGAGUAACACGUGAGUAACCUGCCCUUGACUUUGGGAUAACUUCAGGAAACUGGGGCUAAUACCGGAUAGGAGCUCCUGCUGCAUGGUGGGGGUUGGAAAGUUUCGGCGGUUGGGGAUGGACUCGCGGCUUAUCAGCUUGUUGGUGGGGUAGUGGCUUACCAAGGCUUCGACGGGUAGCCGGCCUGAGAGGGUGACCGGCCACAUGGGGACUGAGAUACGGCCCAGACUCCUACGGGAGGCAGCAGUGGGGAAUAUUGCACAAUGGGCGGAAGCCUGAUGCGGCAACGCCGCGUGCGGGAUGACGGCCUUCGGGUUGUAAACCGCUUUCGCCUGUGACGAAGCGUGAGUGACGGUAAUGGGUAAAGAAGCACCGGCUAACUACGUG